UACGGGGGGGGCAAGCGUUGUUCGGAAUUACUGGGCGUAAAGGGCUUGUAGGUGGCCAACUAAGUCCGACGUGAAAUCCCUAGGCUUAACCUAGGAACUGCGUCGGAUACUGGAUGGCUUGAAUCCGGGAGAGGGAUGCGGAAUUCCAGGUGUAGCGGUGAAAUGCGCAGAUAUCGGGAGGAACACCGGUGGCGAAGGCGGUUCUCUGGGCCUGUACUGACGCUGAGGAGCGAAAGCGUGGGGAGCGAACAGG
Molecule: ribosomal RNA, 253 nt
Filed under: uncultured bacterium
Lineage: Bacteria
Description: partial 16S ribosomal RNA
Rfam family: Bacterial small subunit ribosomal RNA
Source: RNAcentral